GGGUGUGCCCUCACAGGGGGUACCAGCUACAGGUUCGGAGAACUUGUCCGGCGCCGCUCACCAGGGCGUCCCCGGGGCGGCUCUCAAGCACCCCCGGGCUCUUACCUUGGCCGUGACUGCCGCCAAACACAGGGGGACCACGGAAGAGCUGGGUGGCGCGGCGGCGCCGCCGCCGCCUACAAGGCGCAGAGGGUCCGGGUCGGGGUCCCAGCAGGCGCUGCCCUAGCUCAAGCGGCGGUGCCAAGCGCAGACUUCGGGGCGGCCCCCGGCUCCAAAAGCUGUGGGGAGGGUCCGGGCCGCCCAGGCUGGGCACAGUCCCUUCUUCCUCUCCCUCCGGCGCCGCUGCCUGGAGCUGCUCCCCGCCCUAGGGACUCUUCAGAGCCGGGGGCGCCCCGCACGGGCAGGGGCCUGCGUCCGCCUCGGGCCGGGUCUGGGAAGGGGGCGCUGGGGAGAGACGCGGGGCGGCCGCCGGGGCCGGGCCGGCUCCACCUCCCGCGCUCCCCGCGGCUUCGCCCCCUCAGGGCAGGGCCUGCCCGCUCCCGGCCCCGCGAGGCGAGCGCGGCCGCGCCCCCAGCUUCGGGCGCCCGGGCUCCGCGCGGCGGCGGGGCAGCGGCAGUCUGGCCGGGCCGGACGCCGAGCGCGGCGGCACGGAGGCUGCAGCCGGCCGCGGCGCCCCCUCCCCCCGGGCCUGCGCCGCCCGCCCGCCCGCCCGCGGCUCCGCGGUUAGGAGGCGCUGGAGAGGGCCUCGCCCCGGCCUGGGGCGCGGGGCCGGGGGCGCGGGGCCGGGGGAGGCGCCCCGGGAAGGUCACCGGAGCGGAGGCGCUGCGCAGCGCGGUGGGUGCGGGGAGCCGGGGCGGGCGGCCCCGCUGCCGCCGGGAGCGCUCGCCGGCCUCGGCCGCCGCCGCCGCCGCCGCCUUCGAGACGCUCCGGCUUCCCCGAGCGCCGGGCGCUCGGAGCUGGGCUGCCGCUGCAGCCGCCGCCGGCUGCCGGGCGCCGCUGGCCGGAGCCGGCGCGCGAUCCCCGCCUCCCGCGCCCGGCCAGGCGGGGGCCGCCGCACGGAGGCCCGCGGGGGGAUGGGGGGGCGCGGGCGGGCGCUGGGGUCCGGGCUCCGGGCUGGCCCCGCCGCCGCGUGCCCAGAGCUCCGGGCUCGCUCAGCAGCUGCAGUGA
Molecule: long non-coding RNA, 1167 nt
Filed under: Felis catus (domestic cat)
Lineage: Eukaryota; Metazoa; Chordata; Mammalia; Carnivora; Felidae
Description: lncRNA (ENSFCAG00000050888.1)
Source: RNAcentral